CCUCGGGUGGCAGCAGUGGGGAAUAUUGGACAAUGGGCGAAAGCCUGAUCCAGCCAUGCCGCGUGUGUGAAGAAGGCCUUCGGGUUGUAAAGCACUUUCAGUGGGGAAGAAAGCCUUGGGGCUAAUACCCUCGAGGAAGGACAUCACCCACAGAAGAAGCACCGGCUAACUCCGUGCCAGCAGCCGCGGUAAUACGGAGGGUGCGAGCGUUAAUCGGAAUUACUGGGCGUAAAGCGCGCGUAGGCGGUCUGAUAAGCCGGUUGUGAAAGCCCCGGGCUCAACCUGGGAACGGCAUCCGGAACUGUCAGGCUAGAGUGCAGGAGAGGAAGGUAGAAUUCCCGGUGUAGCGGUGAAAGGCGUAGAGAUCGGGAGGAAUACCAGUGGCGAAGGCGGCCUUCUGGACUGACACUGACGCUGAGGUGCGAAAGCGUGGGUAGCAAACAGGAUUAGAUACCCGGGUAGUC
Molecule: ribosomal RNA, 464 nt
Filed under: Vreelandella stevensii
Lineage: Bacteria; Pseudomonadati; Pseudomonadota; Gammaproteobacteria; Oceanospirillales; Halomonadaceae
Description: partial 16S ribosomal RNA
Rfam family: Bacterial small subunit ribosomal RNA
Source: RNAcentral